GAAUAUUGCACAAUGGGCGCAAGCCUGAUGCAGCCAUGCCGCGUGGGUGAAGAAGGCCCUAGGGUUGUAAACCCCUUUCAGCGGGGAAGAUAAUGACGGUACCCGCAGAAGACGCCCCGGCUAACCCCGUGCCAGCAGCCGCGGUAAUACGGAGGGGGCUAGCGUUGUUCGGAAUUACUGGGCGUAAAGCGCGCGUAGGCGGAUCUGCAAGUCAGGGGUGAAAUCCCGAGGCUCAACCUCGGAACUGCCUUUGAUACUGCGGGUCUCGAGUCCGAGAGAGGUGAGUGGAAUUCCUAGUGUAGAGGUGAAAUUCGUAGAUAUUAGGAAGAACACCAGUGGCGAAGGCGGCUCACUGGCUCGGUACUGACGCUGAGGCGCGAAAGCGUGGGGAGCAAACAGG
Molecule: ribosomal RNA, 400 nt
Filed under: uncultured bacterium
Lineage: Bacteria
Description: bacterial SSU rRNA
Rfam family: Bacterial small subunit ribosomal RNA
Source: RNAcentral